This 820-nucleotide ribosomal RNA is filed under the name uncultured Azonexus sp. RNAcentral's name for it is "bacterial SSU rRNA". It matches the Rfam family "Bacterial small subunit ribosomal RNA", at positions 40 to 857 of the family's 1533-position model. The record is from RNAcentral. Lineage: Bacteria; Pseudomonadati; Pseudomonadota; Betaproteobacteria; Rhodocyclales; Azonexaceae.
CGGCGCUGCCUUACCAUGCAAGUCGAACGGCAGCGGACCUUCGGGUGCCGGCGAGUGGCGAACGGGUGAGUAAUGCAUCGGAACGUACCCUAGAGUGGGGGAUAACUAUCCGAAAGGAUAGCUAAUACCGCAUAUUCUAUGAGUAGGAAAGCGGGGGAUCUUCGGACCUCGCGCUCUAGGAGCGGCCGAUGUCAGAUUAGCUAGUUGGUGGGGUAAAGGCCUACCAAGGCGACGAUCUGUAGCGGGUCUGAGAGGAUGAUCCGCCACACUGGGACUGAGACACGGCCCAGACUCCUACGGGAGGCAGCAGUGGGGAAUUUUGGACAAUGGGGCAACCCUGAUCCAGCCAUGCCGCGUGAGUGAAGAAGGCCUUCGGGUUGUAAAGCUCUUUCGGCCGGGAAGAAAUCGCACGGGCUAAUACCUUGUGUGGAUGACGGUACCGGAAUAAGAAGCACCGGCUAACUACGUGCCAGCAGCCGCGGUAAUACGUAGGGUGCGAGCGUUAAUCGGAAUUACUGGGCGUAAAGCGUGCGCAGGCGGUUUUUUAAGACAGGCGUGAAAUCCCCGGGCUUAACCUGGGAACUGCGCUUGUGACUGGAAGGCUAGAGUACGGCAGAGGGGGGUGGAAUUCCACGUGUAGCAGUGAAAUGCGUAGAGAUGUGGAGGAACACCGAUGGCGAAGGCAGCCCCCUGGGCCGAUACUGACGCUCAUGCACGAAAGCGUGGGGAGCAAACAGGAUUAGAUACCCUGAUAGUCCACGCCCUAAACGACGUCAACUAGUUGUUGGGAGGGUAAAACCUUUUAGUAACGUAGCUAACG